Molecule: long non-coding RNA, 5108 nt
Filed under: Pelobates cultripes (western spadefoot toad)
Lineage: Eukaryota; Metazoa; Chordata; Amphibia; Anura; Pelobatidae
Source: RNAcentral
UUGUUUUAAAUUAUAUGUGAAUCAGUUUGUCACAGUCUAGUGAUACUGAUAAGAAUGACAGCCAAAUAACCUAGCAAAUAACUGUUUUAUUAGUUGUUGAAUACUAGCGCUUUGGCCAAGAAUAGUUGGAGAUUUGGAGGUGUUAGUUUAAGAUUGCUUUUAUAUUGUGUCUAUCCGUGUUUCCUAGGAGGGAGACAGAGUGUGUAGUUGUGUGCCCAUAAAUGUCAUUUCUGUAUUGGCAUAUCUGCUGGGUACCCAUUAUGUGUUUCUACAAAGAUAUUGCUUUGUGAGAUGACGUGUAAUAUUACAUUGGAUGCUGAGUAUGAGUUAUAUGGUUUGAAAUGAAUUGGUGAUUAUGAGCUUAGUACUUCAGUAAGAUGUGCUAAAAUUUGGAACAAGGUCGAAGCUGAAAUGUUGGGAUUAUGGAAGAAUAAGCAGUCUAUAUUCACUGCUUUGGCAUAUAAGCAAGAUGCAAAGGAAGAGAUUGGUAAUAUGAUUUUUGUAAAGAAAUUUUACAAGUGUUGGAAGGAUGAGGCAGGUUUGAUGUCUGGAGAUGAUAUAGAUCUCUUUAAAAUACAGUCAUGCCUUGGUAAUAUGUUGCCACAGUAUUAUUUGCUUGUGAAACAAUUGAUUUCAGACUGGGCCAAUUUGGAUAGCUCAGAGUUUCUUACCAAGGUUAUAGAAAAGGAAAAUGCAGGUUGUUCUGAAUUAAGAAAAGAUUUAGGAAAGUAAGGUUGCUUAUUAUGCUCAGGGAUUGCAACAUAUUAUGUCCAGCUACACAGGCUGAGAGCGUGGAUGGGAUGGAGCACAUAAAGCCUGUGGAAAGGGGUGGUCAAAGAGGGGCAAGGGGAUGGAGACAGGGAAAUCAGGGUUAUAGGGGUAACCAAGGAGGAAUAGACAGGAACACUUGUUUCAACUGUGGCCAAUAUGGCCACUGGAGGAAUGAGUGUCCACACCCCAGGAAACCCCAGGAAACCCCAGGAAACCCCACACACCCCAACAACCCCACCUUUCUCAAAAUAUGCCCUGUAGGCAAGAACAACACCAGACCCACUCCCAACACCACUGGCCAGCAUAUCGCUUAGUUCAGGACUUUAGAGCCCUGAAUAGUUUAAUUGUGCCCAUUUCACCCAUUGUCCCUGAUGUGACAUCCCUCAUUACAGCCAUUUCACAUGAUGCCACUUGCUUCACUGUCAUUGAUUUAAGUAAUGCAUUUUUUCUAUACCUAUUGAUCAAGAGACACAGCUACUUAUGGUUUUUACUUUUUGAUGGCUGUUAGUUUACCUGGACACGCUUACCCAAGGCUAUGUGGAUUCCCCAGCUGUUUAUUCGUUGGUACUCCAACAUACUCUAAAAAACAUGGACCAUCGGUCAUGGUUCCGUCCUUUUUGCAAAAUGUUGAUGAUUUGUUGUUAUGUAGCCCUAGCUAUGAGGCAAGCACUGUGGAUACUGUCAGCAACUGUAGGUCACAAGGUUGUUAAACACAAAAUGCAAUUGUGUAAAUCAAAGGUUGAAUACUUAGGUUUUUUUCUGGCUUUAGGCACCAGACAAUUGAGUCCAAAACGUAUUGAGGUCAUUCAGAGGAUUCCUACACCCACUAUUCGGAAGGAGUUGCUCACCUUCCUCGGCAUGAUUAAUUACUGCCACCAAUGGAUCCCUGAAUGCUCCCAUUAUGACUCAAUCCUAAGGGAGGCUGUACGUUCUGACAGCCCUGAAAAUGUCUGCUGGUCACCAGACAUGCUAGCUGCAUAUAUUGCCCUUACAGUUGUUAUUGUGCAAGCCCAGGCUUUAGGACUACCUGUGUAUUGUAAACCAUUUCAUUUGUAUGCUUGGGACAAUUGUAAAACCAUGGCCGUAGUCUGUGCACAAGAGCAAGGAGGCGGUAUGCGUCCCAUAGCAUUCUUUUCCAAAGUAGUUCGAGCUCUGGUACAGGGUAUGCCGGCGUGUCUCAGAGCAUUGAUAGCAUGUGCAAUGGCUGUUGAAACUGCUACUACUAUCACACUAGGGCAUCCUACAAUACUUCAUGCCAGUCACCAGGUCACUCAGCUGAUGACAAAUCUCACCACACAACACAUGACAGCCCAGCGCUUCAGUGGUUAUGAGAUUUUUUUUUUAAUACCCAGAAUCUGUCUUUUGGAUUAAAUAAGGUUUAGAGAAAGAUCAAAAUGAUCUGUUCUCUAAAGAGGGGAGAAUAGGCAUACUUGAAGAAUAGGCAUACUUGAAGCAAGCUGCUUUAUUUUCAUCAGUCAGGCACAUAGCAAGCACCAUUCAAUUCUUCAUGAAUUCAUUUUAUAUUAGGAAUCUCAGGCAGCAUGUACAGUCUUUUGUAAGUUCGUGUGAACGCUGCUCUUUUUACACACUUACAGAUUGAUUUUAUUCAUGUAUCCAAAAUUGGUAAGAAACAGCAAUACUUACUGGUCAUAGUUAAUCAGUUUAGUAGAUGGCAUGAGGCCUUUGUGACAUCUAGGGAAGAUGCUAGUGAAGAUUAUUGUUACUGAAAUUAUUCCCAGGUAUGGCUGCCCUCUGCAGAUUGGCUCUGAUAAUGGCCCGGUAUUUGCAAGUGGGGUUGCCCAGGAACUUGCUAAAUUCUUGCAAGUUACCUGGCAGUUUUAUAUACCCUAUCAUCCACAGAAUACAGGGGUAGUUGAAAGGAUGAAUAGGACUAUUAAGGAAAAGCCCAGAAUUUACCCAGGAACAUGGGUAAAUUGGACUAGAUAUCUACCAGCUAUUUUAGCUGAGAUAAGAGUGAUUCCUCACAAGGUGACUAAAUUAUCUCCAUCUGAGAUUUUUGAUGGGAUGACCUUUUCCCACACCCUGGGCCAGGGAACCGCUUGUUAUAAUGUCUGGGGAUUUACAGCUAAUACAAGAACAAUAUGUACAGGAAUUGUUGAUAAAACCGAAUGGUAUGUAUGACAAUGUUUCUUCGCAGUUUUCCCUUACCUUCACAGGAACCUACUCAUUCACACCAGCUCGGUGACAAGGUGUAUAUCCGUCAGCUGAACAGGACCAAGAAAGGAGGAUACCCUUUUGGACCACCUGCUACUGUGAUUGCUGUACCCAUAACCGCUGUCCUCACAGAUUCCCAUGACAUCUGGAUUCACGCAUCCCGAGUGAAGCUGUGUCCAAAGAGGGGAACCAAGGAAGACAACACCACUCCUCGCUCGGAAACAGAAGAAUUUCUCCUCAGCGAAGCAUCAUGGCUUUUACACCAUAUUGUAGAUUGAGAGGAUCAUACGUACCUGAGACCAAGAUUAUGUUGUGCGCUAUGCUUUCUGGAGUUGUUAUACUCCCUCUGAUAUUGUUCCUUGAAUGCCAUUAUGAGUACAAGUCAAUGGCAAGUUCUGGAAAAAGACUCUGACAUGAUGAACAAUUCUUCAAUACCCCCAGCCCAAUUAGGCCUUAGCCCCUCAUCUAGCAUUCGUCACACAUGCCCCCUCAAGAACCUUUCUCCACCACCUUUCUAUCAGCAUGUAAUAUGCAAUCAUUCAUUGACUGAACGCAUUUGGAUGAAUUGGACAAAUAGUAACCCUUAUAAGUACCAGUUACCCAUAUGAAAUCUGUCUACAGCUAAUUAAACCGAUGCAUUAUGUUUGUUUGAAGGUUCACAGAAAAUUGUUAGAUCUUAUAACGCAGAAAUGUGCACAGUUAAGGUUGCAUAUCAAUGUAAACAGAUAGGCCUUAUUACUUUUAAUAAUGAUUAUAUAACUGGUAUCAUUAAUUGGAGAAGGGGACAAAUGUUAGUCAUUAUGAACAACACUACAAUUGAGAACUAUACACUACCUUAUAUUUUUACACCUUAUUACUGUCCUUUAUCCUCUACCAUAUAACCAAAAGUCAACAACGACACACACACACCUAUUCCGUCCACAUGUAUUAAUACAACUGCCUUCUUACAAGCUGUACAUGUGUCAUUAAAAAUCACUACUCCUGUUGUAACAUUAUGUAACACAACAAACAAAAGGCAGAAAAGGGAAUGGUAUGACACACUGUUAGGAGGUGCUGGAACCACUAUGGGUAUACUAAAUAGUUAUAGAUAUGGAGACCCUCAAGAAUAAGUUAAACACAGCCAGCAUGUAUAUAGGGACUGGUUUUCAUGCUACUGCAAAUUGGGCUCCAACUGUUGUUAAAUCACAGGUUAUAGGAUUGGAUUUAGAUAAAUCAAUGUAUAAUUAUUUAGAUAAUUUAACUGUUGCAGCUAUGAAAUUCACUACAGGUCUAAGUAACUGGAGUACUUGUGCCAUCAGGUAUUUAUGGAUACAACAACAAGGAUUGGCAUUAGAAAACACACUAAUGAUUCCUCAACUAGAGAAGAUUAGAGGAAAGCGUAACCUCACAGAUAAUGAAUGGUUACUUCUAAAACCCCAAUCCACUAAAUGCAAUGGAUGGUUAACUGGUAAUGUUUCACAUUUUUCACGCUCAUGCUAUUUUACAUUAUAUCAUACAUCAUCAAAGGAUGUUAAAUUAGCUUGUCAAUUUAACACAUUACCAGUACCAGUUUAUGAUCUUUUUGCCAAGAAUUUAACCUGGUGGGCACCCACAUACACAGGGGACUAUAUUUUCCCAAAGAUAACACACACAGGUAGCCACGCAUAUCCUAAAAGGAGAACUCCUUAAGGUGAGUUCACAAAUUCAGAAUGAUUUAGCCCAUCAUUGGUACGAUGCUUCACUGGUUGGUCCCCUACUGGAUCUCAGAUAAUGAAAUCAUUCUUCUAUCAUUUUGUUAUUAUAGUCCUGAUUUUAUUGUGUAUGAUUUUAUAUAACUGUCACCUUAGUUGUACAUUGAGGAAGUGAGUACAGAAAUUAAUCCAUAAUGCAGAACAGAAACAAUUAGAAAUUCUCCUCUCUGCCACUGUAGAGUAUCAACCCAUUUUUAAACUAGGCCUUAGGAAUUACCACAUGGGAAUCGAGGUGAAGAAAUUAAUGAAAGUCCCGCAGGGAGUGACUAGCACCCCUGAAAAUACCAUGUGGAAGUUUCUCUGUCCUGGUAAGAUUUUAUCGAUAAGAUGAGCAAUUGUUUUAUUGCUCAAAGAGGGGAAUGUAAGAAUAUUAAAUAGUUAACUUGUUUAUAUGUAUUUUAUGCUUUUAUAAGGUUUAUAACAUGAUUAUUG